CUGAGAAUGCAGAAUUGAGGCAUUGAGUCGAUACUUUGGACACCAGUUCUGAGAGUUGAACUUUGGCGGCUUCAAGCCCCACUGCGCCCAAGUUCUGUCUUCCCAAAGUCUCCUGAGCUUUCUCCAGCACUGCCUGAAGGACUCGAAGAAGCUCUCAAAGCAGAAAAAUGCAGGCACAUAGCCACAUAAGAAUCAUCUUAAGCAAGUAUGGUCAAUCAUAAGCGACACACAUGUUGCAAGCUGAUUGGUUGUGGUUUCUUGACUGCACGUGACGGCAUUGGGCGAAACGAAAAGUGAGAAAUGACCACGGAAUGCUAUUCCCUUGUAGAGAAAAGUUGAUCAGCAAGCAAGAGAGAAGGGGGGGGAAAAAAAAAA
This is a long non-coding RNA of Carica papaya (papaya), 375 nucleotides long. RefSeq lists it as uncharacterized. Lineage: Eukaryota; Viridiplantae; Streptophyta; Magnoliopsida; Brassicales; Caricaceae. The record is from RefSeq and is a predicted model, not a curated record.